RNAcentral lists this ribosomal RNA (436 nucleotides) under uncultured bacterium. RNAcentral describes it as "bacterial SSU rRNA". It matches the Rfam family "Bacterial small subunit ribosomal RNA", at positions 43 to 524 of the family's 1533-position model. The record is from RNAcentral.
CAGGCCUAACACAUGCAAGUCGAACGCACCUUUCGGGGUGAGUGGCAGACGGGUGAGUAACACGUGGGAACGUACCCUUUGGUUCGGAAUAACCCUGGGAAACUAGGGCUAAUACCGGAUACGGCCGAGAGGCGAAAGGUUUACUGCCAAAGGAUCGGCCCGCGUCCGAUUAGCUAGUUGGUUGGGGUAAUGGCUCACCAAGGCGACGAUCGGUAGCUGGUCUGAGAGGAUGACCAGCCACAUUGGGACUGAGACACGGCCCAAACUCCUACGGGAGGCAGCAGUGGGGAAUAUUGGACAAUGGGCGCAAGCCUGAUCCAGCCAUGCCGCGUGGGUGAUGACGGCCUUAGGGUUGUAAAGCUCUUUUACCUGGGAAGAUAAUGACGGUACCAGGAGAAUAAGCCCCGGCUAACUUCGUGCCAGCAGCCGCGGUAAU